Molecule: ribosomal RNA, 480 nt
Filed under: uncultured bacterium
Lineage: Bacteria
Description: partial 16S ribosomal RNA
Rfam family: Bacterial small subunit ribosomal RNA
Source: RNAcentral
AUGAACGCUGGCGGCGUGCUUAACACAUGCAAGUCGAACGAAGCACUUUAUUUGAUUUCUUUUGGGACUGAUUAUUUUUUGACUGAGUGGCGGACGGGUGAGUAACGCGUGGGUAACCUGCCUUGUACAGGGGGAUAACAGUUGGAAACGGUUGCUAAUACCGCAUAAGCGCACGGCAUCGCAUGAUGCUGUGUGAAAAACUCCGGUGGUAUAAGAUGGACCCGCGUUGGAUUAGCUAGUUGGUGAGGUAACGGCCCACCAAGGCGACGAUCCAUAGCCGACCUGAGAGGGUGACCGGCCACAUUGGGACUGAGACACGGCCCAAACUCCUACGGGAGGCAGCAGUGGGGAAUAUUGCACAAUGGGCGAAAGCCUGAUGCAGCGACGCCGCGUGAGCGAAGAAGUAUUUCGGUAUGUAAAGCUCUAUCAGCAGGGAAGAUAAUGACGGUACCUGACUAAGAAGCACCGGCUAAAUACGUG